UGGGAUUUAUCCCGUGCGUACUCUGGGAUAGCGGCUGCGGGUUCCCUUGUCAACAAAAAAAAGAGAGAUACGUAACAACAUCCCCGGAUUCCCCAUAUGUGGAUAGCUGAUGAAACUAGGGCAAUUUGGAAGUGGUCACACCUUGUACAAUUUGGCUUGCCUUUGUUAAAUAGGGGACCCUCAUCAGGUCCCAAUUGGAUAAUAGUUAAUACUACAAAUUAAUCUCCACUGUGCCAUCAUCUUCAUUGAUACCAAAACUGGGAGAGGAAAACAAAAGUUAGUUGGAAUCAAGUUGUCUAUAAAGGAGAGCAAAGUUGUGUAUGAAAUAAGACAGCAUUCGUGGAGUCAUGCAUGUGACUUUGCAGAACAAAUGGUAUAUUGAUUAUUUUUACAAACAUGCAGUAGAAAAGGCCCAUUUUUUUUUUCUUUUUCUUUGAAAAAAAUUCAAAUGGAAUAAAGAAAGGAUAAUCUAUAUCCCAGUCAUUUUGAAUUGAACAAGAGAAAAGUCUCAACCAUUGCUAAGGUGUUCUUCUUGGAAAUCCUCUGUCUAGGGAUAAUGAUAACAAUCCCCUAACAAUUACAGAUGCCAAUUCUUGAUACAAGGUUUAUUGUCUUUCAAGUUAAAAUUUGAGCACAUUUAAUGCUGUCUUUGAGUGAUUGAUAGCUACUAGCAAUAUUUUCAGUGUGUGGCUUGAUUAAUUAACUAAUUAACGAGUCUAAUCUAAUAAAAAGAUUAUCUUUAAUUAAGGAACUACCUUUUGGCAUUAGCUAGAAUGUUCAUGGAGGGAUCACUUCUAUGGGUCUUCUUCAAACUAGUAUAAAUUUUGAAGACCUUGUCUUAAGCAUCUAAAAGUAACUCCAAUUUUUGCUUUGACCAGCUUCUAAAAGAAAACGGGUAAUUCACUCACAAUUAUGCAAAAUUGUGUUGGUGAAAUCAACAUCUAGGACAGGCUUAUCUAUUAUAAUUCAGAAUGUAGAGAAGAAGCUUUGUAAUUGCAACAAAUUUCACGAGAUGUAGAGAAGAAGCUUUUUCUUUUUUUUUCUUUUUUUCUUUUUUGUAAUCCAAGCUUAUUCUUUAGUAGCAAAAUGAUUUAUUAGAUGGCUUUCGUUCUUUCCUUUUUUUUCAAACCAAAUGAGAAAAGAAAUUAUAUAUAAAAAUCGUCUCAUCACUUUAUUAUGUCCCCCUCUAGGAUUUAGAGGUCCUAGAAGUCCUGACUUCUGUUCCGCUUUUCUCAUUCCUGUUUCUUAAAUCUCAUCCUUUCCCCGUUAAAAAAAUAAAAAUUAAAAAAAAACUGUACUAUGUCCCUCCAAAUCUGUGAAACCUUAUUUGUCUAACUUUUGACCAGUAAUGAAAACCUCAGUUUUUUUUUUCCGGUAAAAAGGCAGUAAAAGUUGUUUACAAUAAUUUAUUUUUCUUUUAACUACAAUGGAUUCAAUCACACCUACAUUCUCAGCUAAAAGAAAACCUUACUAGUCAAGUGCUAACCACUAAGUUGCUUUCAAAGCGAUGGAUCGAUCCUUAGAAAUUCCUACUGACCUGUCUUCUAUCUAAUUACCAUUUUUAUGAGACUCCACACUGCAAUAAAUUUCUGUUCCCGAAAACUAACUACUCCAGAACAAGAAUAGCUAAUCGACUUGUAAAAUGCCUAUAACAUAAUUCCUAUUCUGAAAUCAUCUUCCCAUAUGCCUCCUGCAUUCAACUCGAAAAUCCUUGUUUUUAAUUUUCUCACCUUCUUGGCCAUCAAAAUACAGAGAAAUUAUUCUUGCAUAUGCAUGCAUGGAGCAUUGGAGCAAGACUUCUUCAGUGGAGCCCUUACCUCUAGGAGGAUGGAAGAAUAAGCGAAAAAUGGAGGAAAUUGGUGUAACUACCGCUGAUGAAUGCCAUUUUCCUAAUAUCAAAGUUCACGAGGGUCAAAAGAUUUUCCCGGUGGUGCGAGUCCCACAUGGAGUUUUCAGAAGACCAGUUGAUAUUCCAAGUAUUACCAGCAACCGUGAAGCUUCAGAAAUCCGGGUUGAUCACGUGAAGUCUCCAAGGUUCAUAAGAAACCUGAUUUCUACUCUUGAAAAUGGAGUAAAUCAGAAAGUACCGGCUGAAAAAGCUCGAAGUAUAUCAAGGGCAGAAGCAAACGUUUCUGGAAGAAUUUUUAAUAGUCAUGAAGAAACUGGAGAUGACCACCAAAGCAUCCAUAAAAGCUUCAUCACAAAUGAUUUUUCCAGGUCAUCCAUGGCGCCCGGCACCUCUACUACGAAAACUGCUCCUGAUCAUGGAAAGAAGUACCAAAAAAAUGUUGUCAAGGCCAGGCAAAAAGUGAUGGAGAUUUUAGAAGAAUUUCGAGCUUAUUGUGACCAUCUAUCGCGGAUGAACAGCGACAAGAAGUAUGAUAACAAAAAUCGGGUAUAUUCCUUAGCUGCAAGGAUGACCAAAGAGAAAUUUCGUCACUAUCAGGACAGGCCCUUCUUAGGACCAGUUCCUGGUGUGGAAAUUGGAGAUCAAUUCCGCUGCAGGAUGGAGCUUAACGUUGUAGGCCUUCAUCAUCCUUGGCGGGGAGGGAUUGAAUAUAUGAAUGAUGGAGGAAGAACUGUAGCCACCAGUAUUGUGGAUUCUGGGAGUUAUGAAAACUACAAGCCUAAUAAAGAUACGUUGAUAUAUUGUGGUCAAGGAGGGUAUAAUACAAGUGCAAAUGUGGGGCUAGAAAUCGCUGAAGAUCAGAAGCUGGAAGGGGGAAAUUUGGCAUUGUUCAAUAGCAUAAGGACAAAGAAUCCUGUGAGAGUGAUAAGGGGAACUAAGGUAUUAAGGGCCUCUAUGACUUACUUCUAUGAUGGAUUGUACACGGUUGAGAAAAUGUGGGAAGACAAAGGUUUACAAGGGAAGAAGAUUUUCAAGUUCAAGUUAGUGAAAAUGCCAGGACAAGUCAAGCAUCCUUGCUAAAACAAAUUUAAGG
RNAcentral lists this long non-coding RNA (2942 nucleotides) under Coffea arabica (coffee). Its description in RNAcentral is "long non-coding RNA (CARA_LNC005527)". The record is from RNAcentral. Lineage: Eukaryota; Viridiplantae; Streptophyta; Magnoliopsida; Gentianales; Rubiaceae.